UAGGGAAUUUUCGGCAAUGAGGGGAACCUUGACCGAGCAACGCCGCGUGAACGAGGAAGGUCUUUGGAUCGCAGAGUUCUGUUGUAAGGGAAGAACACUAUAGAUAGGGAAUGAUCUAUAGCUGACGGUACCUUGCCAGAAAGCCACGGCUAACUACGUGCCAGCAGCCGCGGUAAUACGUAGGUGGCGAGCGUUAUCCGGAAUCAUUGGGCGUAAAGGGUGCGUAGGCGGCAGAUUAAGUUUGUGGUGAAAGAGCAAGGCUCAACCUUGUUAAGCCACAAAAACUGGUCAGCUAGAGUGCAGUAGAGGCAAGUGGAAUUCCAUGUGUAGCGGUAAAAUGUGUAGAUAUAUGGAGGAACACCGGUGGCGAAGGCGGCUUGCUGGGCUGUAACUGACGCUGAGGCACGAAAGCGUGGGGAGCAAAUAGG
This 428-nucleotide ribosomal RNA is filed under the name uncultured bacterium. Its description in RNAcentral is "bacterial SSU rRNA". It matches the Rfam family "Bacterial small subunit ribosomal RNA", at positions 355 to 776 of the family's 1533-position model. RNAcentral also lists the same sequence under 1 other name. The record is from RNAcentral.